Long non-coding RNA from Carassius carassius (crucian carp), 241 nucleotides. RefSeq lists it as uncharacterized. The transcript is spliced from 3 exons. NCBI's taxonomy places the organism in Eukaryota, Metazoa, Chordata, Actinopteri, Cypriniformes, Cyprinidae. The record is from RefSeq and is a predicted model, not a curated record.
AUCAUCAACAGAACCAGCAGUACACGGAUACCAGAUCAGAAGUUUUCAGAACACAUCAAAGACGUCAAGAUGGAUGAACUCCAGAAGCGCUACAUCUUAAAAAGGGACAACUCCAGCACAGACAAAGACGACAGUGUAAUGCGCAUGAAGCUGAAGGAGGACAGGAGGAGUAAGUCCAUCGAGGAGCGAGAGGAGGAGUAUCAGAGAGCCAGAGAGAGGAUCUUCGCUGAUGUGAGAUACG